UUGAACGCUGGCGGCAUGCCUUACACAUGCAAGUCGAACGGCAGCACGGGGGCAACCCUGGUGGCGAGUGGCGAACGGGUGAGUAAUGCAUCGGAACGUGCCCUGAAGUGGGGGAUAACGUAGCGAAAGUUACGCUAAUACCGCAUAUUCUGUGAGCAGGAAAGCAGGGGAUCGCAAGACCUUGCGCUUUAGGAGCGGCCGAUGUCGGAUUAGCUAGUUGGCGAGGUAAAGGCUCACCAAGGCAACGAUCCGUAGCGGGUCUGAGAGGAUGAUCCGCCACACUGGGACUGAGACACGGCCCAGACUCCUACGGGAGGCAGCAGUGGGGAAUUUUGGACAAUGGGGGAAACCCUGAUCCAGCCAUUCCGCGUGAGUGAAGAAGGCCUUCGGGUUGUAAAGCUCUUUCAGCAGGAACGAAACGGUCGGCUUUAAUAAAGUCGGCUAAUGACGGUACCUGCAGAAGAAGCACCGGCUAACUACGU
Molecule: ribosomal RNA, 482 nt
Filed under: uncultured bacterium
Lineage: Bacteria
Description: bacterial SSU rRNA
Rfam family: Bacterial small subunit ribosomal RNA
Source: RNAcentral